Molecule: long non-coding RNA, 1275 nt
Organism: Amblyraja radiata (thorny skate)
Lineage: Eukaryota; Metazoa; Chordata; Chondrichthyes; Rajiformes; Rajidae
Exons: 2
Source: RefSeq, a predicted model, not a curated record
AGUAGGGGAAUCGAAGACCAGAGGACAUAGAACCUGAGGGCAGAAAGAUAUAACAGGAAUCUAAGGGAUAACUUUUUACACAAAAGUUAGUGGGUGUAUGGAACAAGCUGUCAGAGGAGGUAGUUGAGGCACGUACUAUCAGACAGGUACAUGGAUAGGAUAAGCUUAGAGGGAUAUGGGCCAACUGCAGGCAGGUGGGAUUAGUGUAGAUGGAACAUGUUGGUCGGUGUGGGUAAGAUGGGUCAAAGGGCUUGUUUCCUUGCUGUGUGGCUGGGGCUGAGGCAUGACAUUUUAUCUGUAUGGGGAAUAUGCAUUGCCCCCAGUUUUUCCUUGGCCUUGGUCAGUGAAAUUAAGUGAUUGGUUCAUUCUUCAAUAUUUGAAAUGUAAUUGUGAAAUGUGCAUAGGGAUUGGUUCUCAGCUGAGAGUAAACUGCAGUACUCCCCAGUAUGUUAACAUACGAGAGGAUUGGUAAGCUUUGAAUUUCAAUACAUCCCAGUAAAAGUUGUCUGAAGAUUGAUAAUUUGCAUAUGAAGUUUUCUGUAAUUACUUUCCAAUGGAAGACAAUGCAUAUUCUUUUGCAUCGAGUAGAUUUCAGCACAGACAUAGCCACAUAACUAAAUGUCUUUGACAUGGCUCUCUUUGCCUGCAGUCCCACUAUCUUCACUUCUGCUUGACACCCGUAAGUCCAAGGUUAUACAAAAACAUUAAGUGAUUGAAUGUGUAAACACCCUAACAAUAGGCUUGUUUGAUCCAUCAUUGAAGGUUUAAGAGCAGAUCUGUGUUAAUGCACAUGUCUGCACAGCUCCGUCCUGGCAUUGAACAUUGGAAAUGCAGCCAUGCAAAGUUAACAAGAUGUUGCCAACUACAAAAUCAAGCAUGGCUACUAAUUUCAGUUUGGUAGCUGCAAUAUAAUUUGCACCCGAAGAGAGGAUUUGUGGUUAAUGCACCAUAUUGAGGUGUAAAUGGAUUUUGAUGCACUUUUUAAAUUGAUUUCUUGGAUUUGUAAUCUUUGAUGAUCUUGUCAAGUUUUUAUAAACCAAAAAAGUCAGUAUUGCUUUAUAUAUUGUGAAUGAUAUUUUCUAUAAAGAUUGUAGAUACAUCCCAGUAUCUCCAAAAAACUUUGACUUUACCAAAGGAGUGUUUACAUUGCAUGUUUUUAGUGAUUGCACUUCAUUUUCUCCGCAUUAAGUGGAAUGGAUCUGUGAUUUUAAAUUUCAUGUGUGAUUUGUUUAAACGUGCAGCACACUUUGAAAUAAUAAAAUAUUAUAAAAUCAA